Molecule: long non-coding RNA, 284 nt
Filed under: Gallus gallus (chicken)
Lineage: Eukaryota; Metazoa; Chordata; Aves; Galliformes; Phasianidae
Source: RNAcentral
UCCAAAUACAGUUGCGUCGGGUGUCGGAAGCACCGUCGGCGUCAAUGAAGAGAUUCUCUCUGUGGGGAAAUGCCCAAAUGGGCGCUGGGUGAGAUGUGGGGCACUGGGACCACCGGGAGGGCCGCAGUGCCAGGAGCAGGAGGAGCCUGCUGCCUUACCUGCCAUGGCAGCUCGAGAGUGGCGCUGGGGGGUUCCGUGAGCGCUGGGGUCAGCCCCUCUGCCCUGAGCUCACAAGGACUCUCUGUGACGCUGUCACAGGCAUUGCUCUGUGCCUGCCCCAUCAC